GGGUAACCUGCCUCAUACGAGGGGGAUAACAGUUAGGAAACGACUGCUAACGACCGCACUAACCCGCUUAGUGUCGCAUGACGACGGAACGGAAAAAUUAUUUAAUUUUAACGAGUUAAAAUUUGGUAUGAGAUGGGCCCGCGUCUGAUUAGCUAGUUGGUAAGGUAACGGCUUACCAAGGCGACGAUCAGUAGCCGACUUGAGAGAGUGAUCGGCCACAUUGGGACUGAGACACAGCCCAAACUCCUACGGGAGGCAGCAGUGGGGAAUAUUGGACAAUGGGGGAAACCCUGAUCCAGCGAACCGCCGCGUGAGUGAAGAAGUAUUUCGGUAUGUAAAGCUCUAUCAGCAGGGAAGAUAAUGACAGUACCUGACUAAGAAGCCCCGGCUAACUACGUGCCAGCAGCCGC
RNAcentral lists this ribosomal RNA (410 nucleotides) under uncultured bacterium. RNAcentral describes it as "bacterial SSU rRNA". It matches the Rfam family "Bacterial small subunit ribosomal RNA", at positions 119 to 518 of the family's 1533-position model. The record is from RNAcentral.